UAAACUGGUCAUUUGAGUCAAUAAGACCCAUUUCAAGCUUAUCAUUCUAAAAAUAAAAAUAGUUAUUUCAUAAUAUUUAGGCAAAACAGCUGGCUUACUGAUUAAUUCUGCUUUGUAGUAUAGAGAGACAGAACAGGUGGUAAUAUACCUGGGUUGAAGAGAGACAGAACAGGUGGUAAUAUACCUGGGUUGAAGAGAGAGAGACAGAACAGGUGGUAAUAUACCUGGGUUGAAGAGAGAGAGACAGAACAGGUGGUAGUAUACCUGGGUUGAAGAGAGACAGAACAGGUGGUAAUAUACCUGGGUUGAGAGAGAGAGAGUUUUAUUCUUAUCAUAAUUAUACAUGGGUACAUAAAUCGACAAUGAGA
This is a long non-coding RNA of Oncorhynchus tshawytscha (Chinook salmon), 368 nucleotides long. Lineage: Eukaryota; Metazoa; Chordata; Actinopteri; Salmoniformes; Salmonidae. The record is from Ensembl.